UGCAGAAUCCCGCGAACCAUCGAGUCUUUGAACGCAAGUUGCGCCCGAGACCAUUCGGUCGAGGGCACGCCUGCCUGGGCGUCACGCUAAACACGCUCCAACCCCCAUCAUUGGGAGUAGGAUGCGGCAUGUGGCCUCCCGUCACGCAAGGGGCGGUGGGCCGAAGAUAUGGCUGCCGGCGUAUCGUGUCGGACACAGCGCGUGGUGGGCGACCUCGCUUUACUUACCGCAGUGCCUCCGAGGCGUAGCUGACGUAAUGGCCUCUAAAGACCCUUUGAACGGUGCGCAUGACGCUCCGACCGCGACCCCAGGUCAGGCGGGACUACCCGCUGAAUUUAAGCAUAUAAAUAAGCGGAGGAGAAGAAACUUACAAGGAUUCCCCUAGUAACGGCGAGCGAACCGGGAAUAGCCCAGCUUGAGAAUCGGGCGGCUAUGCUGUCUGA
This 443-nucleotide ribosomal RNA is filed under the name Arrhenatherum elatius. RNAcentral's name for it is "eukaryotic LSU rRNA". The stretch from base 303 to 443 matches the Rfam family "Eukaryotic large subunit ribosomal RNA", at positions 1 to 141 of the family's 3401-position model. Lineage: Eukaryota; Viridiplantae; Streptophyta; Magnoliopsida; Poales; Poaceae. The record is from RNAcentral.